Molecule: ribosomal RNA, 403 nt
Filed under: uncultured Oscillibacter sp.
Lineage: Bacteria; Bacillati; Bacillota; Clostridia; Eubacteriales; Oscillospiraceae
Description: bacterial SSU rRNA
Rfam family: Bacterial small subunit ribosomal RNA
Source: RNAcentral
GGGGAAUAUUGGGCAAUGGACGCAAGUCUGACCCAGCAACGCCGCGUGAAGGAAGAAGGCUUUCGGGUUGUAAACUUCUUUUAAGGGGGAAGAGUAGAAGACGGUACCCCUUGAAUAAGCCACGGCUAACUACGUGCCAGCAGCCGCGGUAAUACGUAGGUGGCAAGCGUUGUCCGGAUUUACUGGGUGUAAAGGGCGUGUAGCCGGGAAGGUAAGUCAGAUGUGAAAUCUGGGGGCUCAACCUCCAAACUGCAUUUGAAACUACUUUUCUUGAGUAUCGGAGAGGAAACUGGAAUUCCUAGUGUAGCGAUGAAAUGCGUAGAUAUUAGGAGGAACACCAGUAGCGAAGGCGGCUUUCUGGACUGUAACUGACACUGAGGGACGAAAGCGUGAGUAGCAAACA